AAAAAAUCUCAUACAAUUAUGACUAAUUUAUUACUUUUUAUUUCAUAACGUUUUUGUCAAAAAACUAAUAAUAACAAUUUAUUUCAUAGCGACUAUAAAUAGCCUAUUGUAAGGUGUUACUUUAACAAUCUGUAGAAAAAAAUGGCAACUCGUACCAAUCUUCUCGUUUUCACUAUUGCAAUUAUGUGCUUUGCUUCGGUUAUGUUUGGUGCUGUAGCUGAUGUGAGAGAUGUAGGAAAUUGCCAUCUUAUGAAUACAUGUAACGUACCUGGAUGCAAACAGUAUUGUGCAUCGUUAAGAGGAGGCUCCCCUAAUGGUGGCAGUUGUCUUCCAGGCACGACUGUUUGUUGUUGUAACUCAUAAGUUUUGAAAAAUUUAUAUUUGAAAUAUCAAUAUUGUAAUAUCAAUAUUUUAAUGAAAAAUUAUGAGUACCAACACUAUGAAAGCAAUUUUCAUGACUAGUAUUACAACA
Long non-coding RNA from Trifolium pratense (red clover), 472 nucleotides. RefSeq lists it as uncharacterized. The record is from RefSeq and is a predicted model, not a curated record. The transcript has 2 exons. NCBI's taxonomy places the organism in Eukaryota, Viridiplantae, Streptophyta, Magnoliopsida, Fabales, Fabaceae.